UCAUUACUGCAGCAGCUUUUUGAACAUGGGCAAGUCCAGCAAGAAAUCUGAUACUAAGGUUGCUGUGGCUACUCCUGUCACAGAUGUGAAGGCAUCUAAAAAGGGGGCUAAGAGGGAUGCAGGGGAUGCUUUGGAGAAAUUGGUGAGCG
This is a long non-coding RNA of Asparagus officinalis (garden asparagus), 149 nucleotides long. RefSeq lists it as uncharacterized. NCBI's taxonomy places the organism in Eukaryota, Viridiplantae, Streptophyta, Magnoliopsida, Asparagales, Asparagaceae. The record is from RefSeq and is a predicted model, not a curated record. The transcript is spliced from 3 exons.